GAGUUUCAAUGAAGGGACUAAUUUAAAAGAAAUCUUGGUGCUUCCAUCAGAUCCCCAUGAAGAACCUGUGGUAGGCAGAAAAAUACCCUCCACCCCCUACCUCAAAAUACCUACAUCCGAAUCGGCAAAACCUGUGAAAAUGUGACUUUACAUGAUAAAAGGGAUUUGCAAAUGUUAUAAAGUUAAGAUCAUAAGAUGAGGCGAUUAUCUUUGAUUACCCAAUGUGCCCAGUGAAAUCACAGGGGCCUUAGAAAAUGGAAGAGAGAGACAGAAAGCCAGAGUUGGAGGAAGGGAUGUGAGGGCAAAAGCAGAGGUCAGGGCACAGUGAUGCCAUUACUGGAAGGGUUCAUGAGCCAAGGAAUGCAGGCAGCCUCUGAAGGUUGGAGAAGGAAAAAAACCAGAUGUUCACUGGAGCCUCUGUAGGGAACACAGUCCUACUGAUAUAUUGAUUUUGGCUUUGUAAAAUCUUUACUUGAAUAUUUGACUGUAAGAUAAUAAAUUUGUGUUGUUUGUGUUGUUUUCUG
Molecule: long non-coding RNA, 524 nt
Filed under: Homo sapiens (human)
Lineage: Eukaryota; Metazoa; Chordata; Mammalia; Primates; Hominidae
Description: HSALNT0394346
Source: RNAcentral